UAAUCACUUGUCUUUUAAAUGAAGACCCGUAUGAACGGCAUCACGAGGGCUCAACUGUCUCCUCUCCCCAGUCAAUGAAAUUGAUCUGCCCGUGCAGAAGCGGACAUAAAAACAUAAGACGAGAAGACCCUAUGGAGCUUAAGACAAAAAGCCAAACAUGUUAAACGACCUAUAAACCAAUUUGGGAUAAAAAGUACCUAAACCAUAUGCCAUCUGGCUAAAAUGUCUUCGGUUGGGGCGACCUCGGAGGAAAAACAAGCCUCCGCAUGGACUGGGGGCACACCCCUAAAACUGAGAUACACAAAUCUAAGUAACAAAAAUUUUGACCAAUAAUGACCCGGACCAAAUCCGAUCAACGAACCAAGUUACCCUAGGGAUAACAGCGCAAUCCCUUCCCAGAGUCCA
This 405-nucleotide ribosomal RNA is filed under the name Aldrovandia affinis. Its description in RNAcentral is "partial 16S ribosomal RNA". It matches the Rfam family "Bacterial large subunit ribosomal RNA", at positions 1962 to 2502 of the family's 2925-position model. Lineage: Eukaryota; Metazoa; Chordata; Actinopteri; Notacanthiformes; Halosauridae. The record is from RNAcentral.